Molecule: transfer RNA, 77 nt
Filed under: Deltaproteobacteria bacterium
Lineage: Bacteria; Pseudomonadati; Myxococcota; Myxococcia
Also listed under: 2 other names
Description: tRNA-Met
Rfam family: tRNA
About the family: Transfer RNA (tRNA) molecules are approximately 80 nucleotides in length. Their secondary structure includes four short double-helical elements and three loops (D, anti-codon, and T loops).
Source: RNAcentral
CGCGGGGUGGAGCAGUCUGGUAGCUCGUUGGGCUCAUAACCCAAAGGUCGGAGGUUCGAAUCCUUCCCCCGCUACCA